GCUUAGCCAUAAACAUCGAUGGCCACAACACCCCUGCCAUCCGCCCGGGAACUACGAGCAUCAGCUUAAAACCCAAAGGACUUGGCGGUGCUUAAGAUCCACCUAGAGGAGCCUGUUCUAGAACCGAUAAUCCCCGUUCAACCUCACCCCUUCUUGCCCAUUCCGUCUAUAUACCGCCGUCGUCAGCUUACCCUUUGAGGGUAAAACAGUAAGCAAAAUUGGCAAAGCCCAAAACGUCAGGUCGAGGUGUAGCGUAUGAAGGGGGAAGCUUAUGGGCUACAUUCACUACCAUAGUGAAAUACGGACGAUGAUGCUGAAACGCACAUCCAAAGGAGGAUUUAGCAGUAAGUGAGAAUCAGAGCGUCCCACUGAAACUGGCCCUAAAGCGCGCACACACCGCCCGUCACUCUCCCCGGGCUAAAAUUUACAUAUAUUUAAUACCCAGCACCUGCACAAGGGGAGGCAAGUCGUAACAUGGUAAGUGUACCGGAAGGUGCACUUGGAACAACCAGAGUGUAGCUAAGAUAAGAAAAGCAUCUCCCUUACACUGAGAAGUCGUCCGUGCAAAUCAGACCACCCUGACACCCAACAGCUAGCUCUACCAAUAAAAUCCAACCCUCCCCCAAUAAAUUAACCCCUAACACACUACCAACCCAUAUAAUAAAGCAUUUUACCCUCCCAGUAUGGGCGACAGAAAAGAAAACAUUAGACGCAAUAGAAAAAGUACCGCAAGGGAACGCUGAAAGAGAAAUGAAACAACUCAACUAAGUAAAAAUAAAGCAGAGAUUCACUCUCGUACCUUUUGCAUCAUGUUUUAGCAAGACAAACCAAGCAAAGAGCACUUUAGUUUGUUGCCCCGAAACUAAGUGAGCUACUCCAAGACAGCCUAUUUAAGGGCCAACCCGUCUCUGUGGCAAAAGAGUGGGAUGAGCUUCGAGUAGAGGUGAUAAACCUACCGAACUUAGUUAUAGCUGGUUGCCUAAAAAUUGAAUUUAAGUUCAGCCUCUCAGCUCCUCAACCCCCUCCCCCCGCUUUAUGCUCCCUCCCGGCGACAAAAAGAACUGAGAGAGUUAGUCAAAGGAGGUACAGCCCCUUUGACCAAAGACACAGCUUUACAAGACGGAUAAAGAUCCUACAUUACAAGGAAAAAUGUUACAGUGGGCCUAAAAGCAGCCAUCCGACCAGAAAGCGUUAAAGCUCAAACAUAUUACUUAUUUUCCUACAAUUCCGAUAACCCUAUCUUAAUCCCCUAUCACUAUUAGGCCGCUCCAUGCAAACAUGGAAGCGAUAAUGCUAAUAUGAGUAAUAAGAGAGCAUGCCUCUCUCCCUGCACGCGCGUAAACAUGGAACGGACCCCCCACCAAAUAUUACCCGGCCCCAAGCAAAGAGGGCAGUGGACGACAACAGAAACAACUAGAAAACCACCCAAAACAUGAACCGUUAACCCCACACCGGUGUGCAAUUAAGGAAAGACUAAAAGAAAAAGAAGGAACUCGGCAAACACACAGCCUCGCCUGUUUACCAAAAACAUCGCCUCUUGCCAAAAUCAAAAUAUAAGAGGUCCCGCCUGCCCUGUGACAACAAGUUUAACGGCCGCGGUAUUCUGACCGUGCAAAGGUAGCGCAAUCACUUGUCUUUUAAAUGAAGACCCGUAUGAAUGGCAUGACGAGGGCUUAACUGUCUCCUUUUUCCAGUCAAUGAAAUUGAUCUCCCCGUGCAGAAGCGGGGAUAAACCCAUAAGACGAGAAGACCCUGUGGAGCUUUAGACACCAAAGCAGUCCUUGUUAAACACCCUAAGACAAAAGACAUAACCAUAAAGGACCCUGCCCUAAUGUCUUCGGUUGGGGUGACCAUGGGGAAUAAAAAACCCCUACGUGGAACGAGGGAACUCCCCCUCACAACCAAGAGUCACAACUCUAACUACUAGAACUUCUACCCAAAAGAUCCGGCAACGCCGAUCAACGAACCAAGUUACCCCAGGGAUAACAGCGCAAUCCCCUUCUAGAGCCCCUAUCGACAAGGGGGUUUACGACCUCGAUGUUGGAUCAGGACAUCCUAAUGGUGCAGUCGCUAUUAAGGGUUCGUUUGUUCAACGAUUAAAGUCCU
RNAcentral lists this unclassified non-coding RNA (2106 nucleotides) under Parachanna obscura. RNAcentral describes it as "partial contains 12S small subunit ribosomal RNA, tRNA-Val, and 16S large subunit ribosomal RNA". The stretch from base 655 to 2106 matches the Rfam family "Bacterial large subunit ribosomal RNA", at positions 1 to 2597 of the family's 2925-position model. Lineage: Eukaryota; Metazoa; Chordata; Actinopteri; Anabantiformes; Channidae. The record is from RNAcentral.